Molecule: ribosomal RNA, 1005 nt
Filed under: uncultured bacterium
Lineage: Bacteria
Description: bacterial SSU rRNA
Rfam family: Bacterial small subunit ribosomal RNA
Source: RNAcentral
GGGGAAUAUUGGGCAAUGGAGGAAACUCUGACCCAGCAACGCCGCGUGGAGGAAGAAGGUUUUCGGAUCGUAAACUCCUGUCCUUGGAGACGAGUAGAAGACGGUAUCCAAGGAGGAAGCCCCGGCUAACUACGUGCCAGCAGCCGCGGUAAUACGUAGGGGGCAAGCGUUGUCCGGAAUAAUUGGGCGUAAAGGGCGCGUAGGCGGCUCGGUAAGUCUGGAGUGAAAGUCCUGCUUUUAAGGUGGGAAUUGCUUUGGAUACUGUCGGGCUUGAGUGCAGGAGAGGUUAGUGGAAUUCCCAGUGUAGCGGUGAAAUGCGUAGAGAUUGGGAGGAACACCAGUGGCGAAGGCGACUAACUGGACUGUAACUGACGCUGAGGCGCGAAAGUGUGGGGAGCAAACAGGAUUAGAUACCCUGGUAGUCCACACUGUAAACGAUGAAUGCUAGGUGUAGGGGGUAUCGACCCCUUCUGUGCCGCAGUCAACACAAUAAGCAUUCCGCCUGGGGAGUACGGCCGCAAGGUUGAAACUCAAAGGAAUUGACGGGGGCCCGCACAAGCAGCGGAGCAUGUGGUUUAAUUCGACGCAACGCGAAGAACCUUACCAGGUCUUGACAUCCACUUAAACUUACAGAGAUGUAAGGUGUGCUUGCACAAAGUGAGACAGGUGGUGCAUGGUUGUCGUCAGCUCGUGUCGUGAGAUGUUGGGUUAAGUCCCGCAACGAGCGCAACCCUUAUCUUCAGUUACUAACGCGUGAAGGUGAGGACUCUGAAGAGACUGCCGGGGACAACUCGGAGGAAGGUGGGGACGACGUCAAAUCAUCAUGCCCCUUAUGACCUGGGCUACACACGUGCUACAAUGGCCACGACAGAGAGAAGCGAAAUCGUAAGGUAGAGCGGAACUCAAAAAAGUGGUCCCAGUUCGGAUUGUGGGCUGCAACCCGCCCACAUGAAGUCGGAGUUGCUAGUAAUCGCGGAUCAGCAUGCCGCGGUGAAUACGUUCCCG